Molecule: ribosomal RNA, 137 nt
Organism: Apteryx haastii (Great spotted kiwi)
Lineage: Eukaryota; Metazoa; Chordata; Aves; Apterygiformes; Apterygidae
Source: Ensembl
AUGGCCUAUGGCCACACUGAGCAUGCACAAUCUCAUCUAAUCUUGGAAAGCAAGCAGGGUUGGCCUGGUUUGUAUGUGGGUGGGAGAUUGCCUGGGCAGGUGGUGAUCAGCAGCACAAAGUCCAGCUGGAGGCCAGU